UCCUAGCCCUAAACGAUGGGUACUAGGUAGGGGGGAUUCCUAUAUUUUCCCUGCCGAAGCAAAAGUAUUAAGUACCCCGCCUGGGGAGUACGGUCGCAAGGCUAAAACUCAAAGGAAUUGACGGGGGCUCACACAAGCGGUGGAGCAUGUUGUUUAAUUCGAUGCAACGCGAAGAACCUUACCUGGGCCUGAAUGCAGGGAUUAAGCUGUGAAAGCAGUGGAUUCUCUUCGGA
This 233-nucleotide ribosomal RNA is filed under the name uncultured bacterium. RNAcentral's name for it is "partial 16S ribosomal RNA". It matches the Rfam family "Bacterial small subunit ribosomal RNA", at positions 794 to 1025 of the family's 1533-position model. The record is from RNAcentral.